Long non-coding RNA from Trifolium pratense (red clover), 2963 nucleotides. RefSeq lists it as uncharacterized. Lineage: Eukaryota; Viridiplantae; Streptophyta; Magnoliopsida; Fabales; Fabaceae. The transcript is spliced from 3 exons. The record is from RefSeq and is a predicted model, not a curated record.
UGAGAUUUAGUAGAUUUUUAGACCAGAGGGGUAUUUUGUUCAUGUUAUGACUAAUGUCAUUUUUGAUAAUUUUAGAAUGAAGGGUAUUAUAGUAAUUUUGGGUGUGUGAGGUUAUCUAAUGAAGUUAAUAGUAACUUUGGUUUGGCAUAAUUAUUAAGAUAGUGGUGUAUGAGUAUUUGGUAGAAGGGUAUUUUAGUAAUUGAUGGAGGAAGGUAAACCUAAGUAUAAAAGGAGGAUUUAGAGGGAGAAGUAGUCAUUUUUUAUGAAAAUUGAGAAAUGAGGUAGAGAGAAGAAAAGAAGAGAUCGAAGAAGAGAGAAAGAAAAGGUUUUGGGAAAGUUAGAGAGGAAGAACAACAAGAUUAACAAAGGAGAGGAACUCAAUGAUUCAUCAAGCCAAGCUAUCAUCAUUUCUCCAAUUCUAGAGUUUCUCAGGUGUUGCGUUUUGGUGUUCGUGUUCCGGUGUAGCCUCGCUCUGAUUUGGACACAUAGGGAGGGUGUAUAGUAUUUCAAUUUUAUUUAUAUGGUCUAGGUUAAGACAUAAAAAUGUACAAGUCACUAGUAAAAGAUUUUCAUCUAAUGCACGUGUAUACUAAUUAAAUUUAUAGCAAUGUAAUUUGGGAAUAGUAAUACCCUAAUUCAUAAUAUUCAUCUAUCUCCAUCCUUAAUUAUUAAUCAAUAAAGUUUUAUUUUUAUCCGCUGCGAAAAUUUUAAAACAAUCCUCUUAUAAAACUAGAGUAAUACGAGUAUUCAGGUUAGGGUGUUACAAAGUGGUAUCAGAGCCCCGUUGGUCCAAUCGGACUAUGUGGGCUAGGUGUGUGUUAUGUGUCGAUCAGAGCAGGUCUGUUGAGUCAAGCCAAGUGUGCAUUGAGUCGGUUGUGUUUGUUUAUCGAUUGAUCUUUUUAUGAGUUGAUUGUUGUUUACACUUGCACCUUAGUCAUUUAGUUAUCUUGGAAGUUGGUGAAUUGCUUUAUGAAGUUCGUUGUUAUUUUCUUCAUGACAUGUUGCUUUACUCGAUUCUCGAUGUUGUGUUUUAAUUGGUAAUGAGAUUAGAAUUUAUAAAACCUUGUUGAAAAUCUAGAUUCUUUUCUCUUUAAUAAUUGAACACUAAUUUUUGUAUAAAAUUAGGAAGAUUAAAAUAUUAAUAGUGAAAUUAAGUGAGCUUUAGAAUGUGCAUGAUAUACGUUGUCAUGUUUUCCGAAAAGUUGAUAAAUGAUGUUGUCUUUCUUUUGACGGAUUUUGAAAAGUGAUGUGAAUUUAAAUGUCAGUGAUUCAUUUUCUUAAGUGUUCUUUUUAGUCAUCACAUGAUUUUGAAUACAACGUUUUGUUAUGAGUAUGUUAGUUUGAUAAAGAGAGUUAUGCCACAAUCAUGAUUAUCGGCAGCCUAUUAGCAAAUUAAGGAUCUGAUCACCCUUAAUCUGUUGUUAAUAGUAGACGGAAUCAUGUUGACUGGAGUAAACUAAUUUUGUCAAACUUUAGUAGCAUGUAGAGUUUGCUACGAAAUAAGAAAUGAUUGGUUAUGGAAAAUGUAAUUUUGUAAAACGUAUUAAUUGUGUUUUGUGAAUUCAAACUUUUGUGGUGAUUGUAUAUAAAUGUUAUAAAUAAUUUUGUGUUGCUUUGUUGUUUGAUACUAAAACAUGUUUAGGGAUAUGCUAGUUGUGUGACUGUGUACGAAUUUAUUGAUGUUUGUGUUAUUAGUAUGUGAGUUUGUGAUUUUAUGAAGUUGAUCUCGGCCUUAUGUCUUGUUCGUUCCUAUAAAUCACUUGCUAAAUGCGUUGUUCUUGUUGUAUGUUGUUAUAUGUGUUGUUUUCUUCCGUGUGAUUGUUAGAUCUAAAUUCUAGAUGUUCGAUUUUCAUAAGUGUGCACUAUCUAUUUUUAUUAUGCAUGAAUUCUAUUGUGUUUAUGGAUGUUCUUAACUAGUUAUGCGAAUAGAAUGUUAGACUUAUGCUUGUAGAGUUGGUAUAUGUAAAAUAGCUCUUUUGUGAUGAAUUGAUUUUUUUGAUUGGGAUGAAUUUGUGUUGAAUUGUUUUUGGAGGAAACAGGAGUAGUGCGGUUUAGAGGGAAUGAGUGUUGUCGGUAGAGUUUAUCGUCCUUAAAUAAAGAGUUGAAACCAGACUCUGAUACCUAGUUCACCUAUCGGGAGAAUUACGAUAUUGAUAGAAUUUAGAGUUGUAUUUUACGGGUAAUUUUCGAGGACGAAAAUUCUUUAAGUGGGGGAGAGUUGUAACACCCCGAUUUUUGCUAGGAUUAUUUAUUUAUUAUAUUUGUUUAAUUGCUUGUUUGAUGUGUUUGAUUGAGAUUUAGUAGAUUUUUAGACCAGAGGGGUAUUUUGUUCAUGUUAUGACUAAUGUCAUUUUUGAUAAUUUUAGAAUGAAGGGUAUUAUAGUAAUUUUGGGUGUGUGAGGUUAUCUAAUGAAGUUAAUAGUAACUUUGGUUUGGCAUAAUUAUUAAGAUAGUGGUGUAUGAGUAUUUGGUAGAAGGGUAUUUUAGUAAUUGAUGGAGGAAGGUAAACCUAAGUAUAAAAGGAGGAUUUAGAGGGAGAAGUAGUCAUUUUUUAUGAAAAUUGAGAAAUGAGGUAGAGAGAAGAAAAGAAGAGAUCGAAGAAGAGAGAAAGAAAAGGUUUUGGGAAAGUUAGAGAGGAAGAACAACAAGAUUAACAAAGGAGAGGAACUCAAUGAUUCAUCAAGCCAAGCUAUCAUCAUUUCUCCAAUUCUAGAGUUUCUCAGGUGUUGCGUUUUGGUGUUCGUGUUCCGGUGUAGCCUCGCUCUGAUUUGGACACAUAGGGAGGGUGUAUAGUAUUUCAAUUUUAUUUAUAUGGUCUAGGUUAAGACAUAAAAAUGUACAAGUCACUAGUAAAAGAUUUUCAUCUAAUGCACGUGUAUACUAAUUAAAUUUAUAGCAAUGUAAUUUGGGAAUAGUAAUACCCUAAUUCAUAAUAUUCAUCUAUCUCCAUCCUUAAUUAUUAA